UCCUCUUUGCUACUUUCUUGGAAUUGAGGUUUCUUCUAUUUCUGAUGGCUUCUUUAUUUCUCAAGAGAAGUACAUUCAGAAUCUUCUCGCUCGUGCUGCUCUUAGUGAUAGGGUCAUUGUUGACACUCUCAUGGAGCUCAACGUCCACCUUUGUGCUUCCGAAAGUGAGCUAUCAGGAUUGCGCCCAACCAUGUGAAGCUUGAGCUCACCAAGCAUAUUAAUGUCGAUGCCUCCUUCGUGCGUGUAGAAUCAGAUUAUUACUCUUCAGUAUGUGCCUUUCGAUUUACCCUUGGUCAGUUUCUUCAUGAAGGCCUAAACAUAAGCACAAGAGAGCUUUUACCUCUCCAAAUCCACCAACAAUUGGCUGGUUUCUACACGAAGAUUCAAACAAAGCACAACAUGGCUUAUAUCUCUCCAAAUUAAAUGUUGUUGAUCCACCAUGACCUUGAGGAUUUUGGUGUUUCUAUCACUACAUUACUCCUCGUGUCAUACCAUACAGUAGAUGAGCUAUCAAGAAUUCGCUCGUCUUAGUGAAUAAUUUUUAUGUUUGAUAUCUGUCCUCUUAGAUACUUCAUUGGAAUUGACGUUUCUCCUACUUCUGGUGGCUUCUUUAUUUCCGAAGAGAAGUAUAUUCAGGAUCUUCUCGCUCAUGCUGCUCUUAAUGAUAGGGCCAUUGUUGACAAUACCAUGGAGCUCAACGUCCACCUUCGUGCUUCUGAAAGUGAGCCCUUGUUUGAUCUGACGCGCUACCGUCAUCUUGUUGGGAGUCUUUCAGAGGUCACUUGUCCACACAUUUCAUAUCACGUCAUUCCAAGUCAGUUUGUUUCUGCUCUCACUUUGAUCCACUUGAGUCACCUUCCAUGUAUUCCAUGAUACAUUUGUGGAACUAUCUCUCACCUAUGCUAUAGUUCUACGAUAUCUUUGUGGAACUAUAUCUUCUUCCUAUGCUCAAGCUUGUUCGUUCCUUUGUAAUUAUUGUCUUUCUAAUUAUUGUGUUUUUCUUGAUGAUUUUCUCAUUGCCCGGAAGACAAAGAAACAGACAUCGCUUUUCCCUUUGAGUGCAAAGGUUGAGUUGCAAGCUAUGACUUCAUUGACAACGAAGGCGACUUGGUUAUGAUGGUUGCUUGAGGAGUUUGGUGUUUUUGGCACUAGAC
RNAcentral lists this long non-coding RNA (1154 nucleotides) under Hordeum vulgare. RNAcentral describes it as "long non-coding RNA (HVUL_LNC003771)". Lineage: Eukaryota; Viridiplantae; Streptophyta; Magnoliopsida; Poales; Poaceae. The record is from RNAcentral.